Long non-coding RNA from Strigops habroptila (Kakapo), 3215 nucleotides. RefSeq lists it as uncharacterized. The transcript has 2 exons. The record is from RefSeq and is a predicted model, not a curated record. Lineage: Eukaryota; Metazoa; Chordata; Aves; Psittaciformes; Psittacidae.
AAGGAGGACCAUGUGGAACUGCUCAGGCCAUUCUGCCUGAUUCCCCAUAGAGUAACCGUGGAUGUCGGUGUGAAAUUUCACCCACAUCACGGGGAGCACAGGCGUGUGGGGUGAAGAGGGUUUCCUAACCAGUGCUGUUACAGUGACAGGUAUUCACUGCUCUUUCCAACAGCCAGUGCUCGUAGUUGGCAGAAGGAUUUUCUGAAUGGAAGGAUGAGGGAUUUGUUGGCCUUAGACUUUGUGUUUCUCUGAUCCACAUGCAGAAACUGCUUACUGGGAUUAGGUGGCAUGACUUCCUCAGGGAGGCUAAGCUCAGUGCUUAGCCUCUGCAUUUCUACUCCCAGGAUGCUCUCCUGACGUGAAGCGUGAGCUUGGUUUGGGCUGAAUGAUCAGCUUCAGUGUUGCCUCCCUUUGCUGCACUGUGAGUACAGGCGCUGUGCCACACAAGACACAGCUCUGCGAGCUCGUGUCACAUCUGUCAGAACCAUUAAGCUGGUUUUAUAGAUUGAGUUCUGUUCACCUGCCUCGUAGCCACGUGUCCAUCUCGGUGAUGUUUGGCUUUUGACAACCUGCAGGAGGACUGGCCUGGUUGGAUAAAAAUAAGCUCUUCCUCUUUACGUUUGUGUUAAAGCUGCUGUAAACGAAGUUUAUUUAGUAAAGGAAAAUAUCAAACUUUGUCUUUUGACGUUAAAAUGAUGCAGAUUUUUCCAAUAUAUUUUAGGCGUAUUUGCAUAGUUAACUUAUUCCCCCCCUUAUCUUGAGUCAUAGAUCAUUUUUUCCAUGAGCCUAAAAAGCCUGGUACUGAUUAUGCUCCCAGUAACACAAGAGAAUGUUUUUUGUGUACUGGUGUUAAAAGGCCCAAGGCUCUGUCGAUUGCUUUGUUAUGUAUAUGGUGGAUUGGGCUUGCCAACAUCUGUUAGGAGUUAAGAACUUCAGCUUUGAAACAGAAUUAUUUCCCUAUAUGUUUUAUGGGAUAAUUGCAGAUAGGUGUACGGGAGGGAUCCUCUUGGUAGGAAGAAAGCUGGUCUGAGUUUUGAGAUGCUGAAAUGCUGGAGUCACAGGGAUAAUACACAUCAAAUAAUAUUGACUGUGCUAAUCAUAGUGCAGCUGGUGCCAUAGGGGCUAUUUACACAAUUUUGAUCAGUUUAUUGCAUAUUUUUGUGCAACCAGGGCACUUUUAAGGGAAUACUGGAUCACCAGGCAGUGCCGCCAGGCUGAGGCACUGAUCACGACUUCCUUGUGAGGAGUUUUCUCUCUCAUUUAUGAAUUUCAACUCAAGGUUCUUAAUUGUGUGUGUUUGCUUUUAAUACAUCAUUUCCUCUGCCCUGCCUGGGCUGCCAGUGAUCGUCACGGUGGGGAGGUGACUGCUCUUAGCUGAAUACCCAAAUGCCAGGUUACUGUGACACCAUCGCUACUACUGGAUGUGCUGCCAACCAAUGGUGAUAUUUACAUGCUCUUGUAACUCCUUACAUCUGUGUCAUUAUUGGGUAGUCUUGCCAUUAAGUUUUCUACUUGUUACGUUUUACACUGCUCAGCUGAACGUCAAGUUCAUAUUCCAUAAAAUAUACUGAGUAUAUGCACAUUAUUUUGGUGAUGGUGAUGCAGUUUUGAGUCUUCAUGCUACGUCUGCUCUUCUAAAUGCAGGACCUCUUGAUUCAGCACUGAGGGAUCCACUACUUAUUGUAUCAUAGGUAUGUUAGAAUGAAGAGGGGAGCUCCUCUUUGUUGUGGGUUGUUUAGUUUUGUCUUGUUUGGGUUUUUCUUUCUGCGUGGGAGAAGACCAAGUUUUGCAAGGUUUCUUCCUUCCUUUACAACGGAGGGAAAUGUAACCAUCUUUCACCAAAAUUUAUAGAUUUAGACAGGCUUCCCAUUCAUUUGCUAAGUGCUUGAAUUCAUUUUAAGACAGAUGAAACAACAAACAGAGAAUGCUAAUCUGUAUUGAAAACAAGAAAAAUCAGUGCAAACCAGUCUGCUCUUGUUUAUUGUUAGAAACGCUGCUUUAACCCAAAUCUGCUUUUGUGAGGACAAAAUGACUGGCAAGAGCAGCUUUAUGAGUUAACCAGUGACUGGCUCCUGAAUAGAUUUCUCAGAUGCACCAUGUUGGAGAUGGCAACUGCAGCGGUGGCCUCUUCCAUGAGCCACCCUUGAAGGCUGUGGGAAGGGUUCAGCUGGUGCAGAAGGAGCCCAUUGAUGGUCCAUCAUUUGAAAUCUGUACAGAGUCAGAGACCUGAAAAAGCACCGACUGCAAGCACCAGCUCUGGGUUUUUCAUUGCUGGUGUUCAUCUUGGCUUGUUAAGGAACUAUCAGCAGUAAGUUGUAUUUGAAGUGUUUCACUGAGUUAUAGUGCCCUGUCCUGUAAGGCAGGGCUGGUCUGUGCAGGAGAUGGAACUCUCUUCCACAACUGCUCUGCCCGAAACACAUUUCCACAGAAGCAAAGAACGGAGCCAGCCGAUAGCACUGCCCUUAACCACACAGGUGCUACUUCAUCUGUCUCUAGCAUAAACCUGGAGCAGCUUUGAUCUUAUUUUUCUAAGCCAGGGUGUGUAAUGUAUUUCAAACCCAAGUGCUAUACUGCACACAGAUGGUGUCCUACCAAAUAGAUAAAGGAAUGGCCCACAUGCAACAGAUGUUACCUGAGUCCAGUAAUGAGCUGCUGACAAGCAUCAAGGUGCUUUGAUGGUCCUUCUGUGUGUAGCACAGCAGCUUGUGUUAGCAGUAAAUACUCCUUUGUUCACAGUGCCAGCUUCUAGUUAACCUUUUGAAAAUAGUGGUUUUAGGCAACCUAUGAGAUACUUUCAGAGUUCUGUGUUCUUCUGAAGGUUUAGUUGUGAGGUUCUUUUACUAAAUAAUGCCUUUGUACAAGGUUUAUAGUUGGGAGGAAGAUGCCUGUUGGUUUUUAAAGAGAUUUAUAUCUGGUUCUGAUCAUCAUCUGAUCGUCAUCUGUCCUGAUGCUGAGGGAAGAGUGGUGCUGUGUCUCUCACCAGUACGUUUGCCCAGUUUCAGAGCUGCAUCAGCAGCAGAUCUGGAGACGCUAUAGAGGGUAAACAGGGCUGUGUACAUGGAAGCCAAAUGCAUUUCUAGAGACAGGGUUUGACUUAAAGUGUCUGUGUGGUCCGCUCAUGUGUUUGACCAGGUAGGGACCUUGCAUGGCUGCUGAAAGCUGGUAGAUGCUUCAGUGCUUCAUCUUGCAGGUUUGCUUUUCUAGUUGUUUCAGCA